UACGGGGGGGGCAAGCGUUGUUCGGAAUUACUGGGCGUAAAGGGCGCGUAGGCGGCCUGCUAAGUCGGACGUGAAAUCCCCCGGCUCAACCGGGGAACUGCGUCCGAUACUGGUGGGCUCGAAUCCGGGAGAGGGAUGUGGAAUUCCAGGUGUAGCGGUGAAAUGCGUAGAUAUCUGGAGGAACACCGGUGGCGAAGGCGGCAUCCUGGACCGGUAUUGACGCUGAGGCGCGAAAGCCAGGGAAGCAAACGGG
RNAcentral lists this ribosomal RNA (253 nucleotides) under uncultured bacterium. RNAcentral's name for it is "partial 16S ribosomal RNA". It matches the Rfam family "Bacterial small subunit ribosomal RNA", at positions 524 to 776 of the family's 1533-position model. The record is from RNAcentral.